RNAcentral lists this ribosomal RNA (456 nucleotides) under uncultured bacterium. RNAcentral's name for it is "bacterial SSU rRNA". It matches the Rfam family "Bacterial small subunit ribosomal RNA", at positions 34 to 507 of the family's 1533-position model. The record is from RNAcentral.
CGCUGGCGGCGUGCUUAACACAUGCAAGUCGAACGGUAAGGCCCUUCGGGGUACACGAGUGGCGAACGGGUGAGUAACACGUGGGUGAUCUGCCCUGCACUUCGGGAUAAGCCUGGGAAACUGGGUCUAAUACCGGAUAGGACCAUGGACUUCACGGUUUGUGGUGGAAAGCUUUUGCGGUGUGGGAUGGGCCCGCGGCCUAUCAGCUUGUUGGUGGGGUAAUGGCCUACCAAGGCGACGACGGGUAGCCGGCCUGAGAGGGUGUCCGGCCACACUGGGACUGAGAUACGGCCCAGACUCCUACGGGAGGCGGCAGUGGGGAAUAUUGCACAAUGGGCGCAAGCCUGAUGCAGCGACGCCGCGUGAGGGAUGACGGCCUUCGGGUUGUAAACCUCUUUCAAUAGGGACGAAGCGCAAGUGACGGUACCUAUAGAAGAAGCACCGGCCAACUACGUG